GACGAACGCUGGCGGCGUGCCUAAUACAUGCAAGUCGUGCGGACCUUUUAAAAGCUUGCUUUUAAAGGGUUAGCGGCGGACGGGUGAGUAACACGUGGGCAACCUGCCUGUAAGACUGGGAUAACGCCGGGAAACCGGGGCUAAUACCAGAUCGUUUUUUCCUCCGCAUGGAGGAAAAAGGAAAGGCGGCUUCGGCUGCCACUUACAGAUGGGCCCGCGGCGCAUUAGCUAGUUGGCGGGGUAACGGCCCACCAAGGCAACGAUGCGUAGCCGACCUGAGAGGGUGAUCGGCCACAUUGGGACUGAGACACGGCCCAAACUCCUACGGGAGGCAGCAGUAGGGAAUCUUCCGCAAUGGACGAAAGUCUGACGGAGCAACGCCGCGUGAGUGAAGAAGGCCUUCGGGUCGUAAAACUCUGUUGCCGGGGAAGAACAAGUGCCGUUCGAACAGGGCGGCGCCUUGACGGUACCCGGCCAGAAAGCCACGGCUAACUACGUG
Molecule: ribosomal RNA, 499 nt
Filed under: uncultured bacterium
Lineage: Bacteria
Description: partial 16S ribosomal RNA
Rfam family: Bacterial small subunit ribosomal RNA
Source: RNAcentral